GGUAGGAUUGGAGACACGGAGCUUUCGAUGAAGCCGGGGCGUGAGCCAUCCGGUGGAGAGAUCACUAGCGAGAAUGAUGACAUGAGUAGCGACAAAGAGUGUGAGAGACACUCUCGCCGAAAGUCCAAGGGUUCCUGCUUAAAGCUAAUCUGAGCAGGGUAAGCCGACCCCUAAGGCGAGGCCGAAGGGCGUAGUCGAUGGGAACCAGGUUAAUAUUCCUGGGCCAUGAGGUGGUGACGGAUCGCAGGUGUUGUUCAUCCUUAUUGGAUUGGAUGAGCAGCUGAGCGGUUCCUGGAAAUAGCCCCUCUAUAAGAUCGUACCCUAAACCGACACAGGUGGACAGGUAGAGAAUACCAAGGCGCUUGAGAGAACUAUGCUGAAGGAACUCGGCAAAUUACCUCCGUAACUUCGGGAGAAGGAGGCCUCACUCUAGGCAACUAGAACUGAGGGGCACAGACCAGGGGGUUGCGACUGUUUAUCAAAAACACAGGGCUCUGCGAAGCCGCAAGGCGACGUAUAGGGUCUGACGCCUGCCCGGUGCCGGAAGGUUAAAAGGAGGAGUGAGAGCUCCGAAUUGAAGCCCCGGUGAACGGCGGCCGUAACUAUAACGGUCCUAAGGUAGCGAAAUUCCUUGUCGGGUAAGUUCCGACCUGCACGAAUGGCGUAACGACUUCCCCGCUGUCUCCAACAUCGACUCAGCGAAAUUGAAUUGCCUGUCAAGAUGCAGGCUUCCCGCGGUUAGACGGAAAGACCCCGUGCACCUUUACUGCAGCUUGGCUGUGGCAUCGGAAAUAGUAUGUGUAGGAUAGGUGGGAGGCUUUGAAGCUAUGGCGCCAGUCGUAGUGGAGCCAUCCUUGAAAUACCACCCUUACUCUUUUCGAUGUCUAACCGCGCCCCUGGAUGGGGCCGGGACCCAGCCUGGCGGGCAGUUUGACUGGGGCGGUCGCCUCCUAAAGAGUAACGGAGGCGCGCGAUGGUAGGCUCAAGCCGGUCGGACAUCGGCUGUUGAGUGCAAUGGCAUAAGCCUGCCUGACUGUGAGAUCGACAGAUCGAGCAGAGACGAAAGUCGGUCAUAGUGAUCCGGUGGUCCCGAGUGGAAGGGCCAUCGCUCAACGGAUAAAAGGUACGCCGGGGAUAACAGGCUGAUGAUGCCCAAGAGUCCAUAUCGACGGCAUCGUUUGGCACCUCGAUGUCGGCUCAUCGCAUCCUGGGGCGGUAGUACGUCCCAAGGGUUGGGCUGUUCGCCCAUGAAAGCGGUACGCGAGCUGGGUUCAGAACGUCGUGAGACAGUUCGGUCCAUAUCCGGUGUAGGCGUUAGAAUAUUGAGAGGAGCCUUCUUUAGUACGAGAGGACCGAGAAGGACAUACCUAUGGUGUACCAGUUAUCGUGCCAACGGUAAACGCUGGGUAGCUAAGUAUGGAGUGGAUAACCGCUGAAAGCAUCUAAGUGGGAAGCCCACCUCGAGAUGAGUAUUCUCAUCACGAAAGUGAGUAAGGUCACGGUAAGACUAACCGUUUAAUAGGCAUUAAGUGUAAGUACAGUAAUGUAUGUGCUGAGAUGUCCUAACAGACCGAGGACUUG
RNAcentral lists this ribosomal RNA (1581 nucleotides) under uncultured Chaetoceros. RNAcentral describes it as "partial Bacterial large subunit ribosomal RNA". It matches the Rfam family "Bacterial large subunit ribosomal RNA", at positions 1223 to 2925 of the family's 2925-position model. The record is from RNAcentral. Lineage: Eukaryota; Bacillariophyta; Thalassiosirophyceae; Chaetocerotales; Chaetocerotaceae.